Molecule: ribosomal RNA, 434 nt
Filed under: uncultured bacterium
Lineage: Bacteria
Description: partial 16S ribosomal RNA
Rfam family: Bacterial small subunit ribosomal RNA
Source: RNAcentral
AGCGAACGCUGGCGGCAGGCCUAACACAUGCAAGUCGAACGAACCUUUCGGGGUUAGUGGCGGACGGGUGAGUAACACGUGGGAACGUGCCUUUAGGUUCGGAAUAACUCAGGGAAACUUGUGCUAAUACCGAAUGUGCCCUUCGGGGGAAAGAUUUAUCGCCUUUAGAGCGGCCCGCGUCUGAUUAGCUAGUUGGUUGAGGUAAUGGCUCACCAAGGCGACGAUCAGUAGCUGGUCUGAGAGGAUGAUCAGCCACAUUGGGACUGAGACACGGCCCAAACUCCUACGGGAGGCAGCAGUGGGGAAUCUUGCGCAAUGGGCGAAAGCUUGACGCAGCCAUGCCGCGUGAAUGAUGAAGGUCUUAGGAUUGUAAAAUUCUUUCACCGGGGACGAUAAUGACGGUACCCGGAGAAGAAGCCCCGGCUAACUUCGUG